GGUUUCCCUUUACGAAUUGUAGUUUAAAGAAGUGUUUUCUGUUGGAGUUUCGGUAAAAGUUCUUUGGAAUAGGACAUCAUAGAGGGUGAGAAUCCCGUAUUUGACCGUUACUUUCCAGCUGUGUGAUACACUUUCAAAGAGUCGGAUUGUUUGGGAAUGCAGUCCAAAAUGGGUGGUAAAUUUCAUCUAAAGCUAAAUAUUGGCGAGAGACCGAUAGCGAACAAGUACCGUGAGGGAAAGAUGAAAAGAACUUUGAAAAGAGAGUUAAACAGUACGUGAAAUUGUCAAAAGGGAAGCGUUUGACACCAGUGUUGUUUAGUUGAAAAUCAAUUCAAUAGUUUUUGAUUUUAAGUAGUAUUGACUUCAUCAGCUUGCUGCUUUUUUCUCUGAAAUUAUUG
RNAcentral lists this ribosomal RNA (398 nucleotides) under uncultured Neocallimastigomycetes. Its description in RNAcentral is "eukaryotic LSU rRNA". It matches the Rfam family "Eukaryotic large subunit ribosomal RNA", at positions 127 to 520 of the family's 3401-position model. The record is from RNAcentral. Lineage: Eukaryota; Fungi; Neocallimastigomycota; Neocallimastigomycetes.